GGAUGUGAGGGCAAUCUGGCUGCGACAUCUGUCAUCCCAUUGAUCACCAGGGUUUAUUCUGCUCUGGCUGGCUAGGCGGGUGUCCCCUUCCUCCCUCACCACUCCAUGUGCGUCCUUCCCUAAGCUGCUCGCUUUUUCAAAGAGGAAAGCCUUCCCCAAAUAGACCUUCGGUCAAGAGUAUACCAGUAGCUGUGCUCCCCUGCUAGAACCUCCAAACAAGCUCUCAAUCUAUUAUUAGAGAAUGAAAGAGUAACUCAUUCUUCAGAGUUGGCAUGUGAUUUACCUUGAGUUUAAAGUGUUUUUGAAGAUACUUAUUUGU
This 319-nucleotide small nuclear RNA is filed under the name Sorex araneus (European shrew). RNAcentral describes it as "7SK RNA (ENSSARG00000018251.1)". It matches the Rfam family "7SK RNA". Rfam says of the family: 7SK was discovered as an abundant small nuclear RNA in the mid-70s but a possible function has only recently been suggested. The record is from RNAcentral. Lineage: Eukaryota; Metazoa; Chordata; Mammalia; Eulipotyphla; Soricidae.